CUUUGGGAAAAGAGAUAAGCUUUAUUCUGUGAGAUGGAUCUGCAGGGAGAACAGGGGGCAUGUGCCCUCAGAUCUGUCUCCCUGAUUCAGGGUUUGGGGCAAAAUAUAAGAGGUUGGGGAGAACAGGCUGGCACGCAGAAAUGUUGGUGGGACAGGUUUUGAUUGGUGGACUUCAAGCAUUUGUGGUAAGGUUCUAAACAGUUAUGACAGGGUUCUAAACAUUUUUGAUGAGGUGGGGAAAGAAUUCUAACACCAGAUCUUCCUGAAUGAGGGGCUCCCUCGCUUCUGAUAAGAGUUCAACCUUCAAGUUCGGGUCGUGUCCUGGUCCUUGGGUUCCAUGGGAAGGAGGAUCUUUGGUUCCACGGUCAUUUCAGUUCUGAUGUUGGCUGGCUUUUCUGAGAAUAAUAAACAUCACCUACCAGUGCUGUUCUGUAGGCUGCCUCCUCUUGUCUUCGUUUGGAAAGAUUCUCAAUAUUGCCAGGGGCAAGAUCACUUCACAGGCACGUAACGUGUGGCCGUGUCUCUCUGGUGAUGUGAGCAGCCGUGGCGAUCGUGGACUGGAUCCACUAAAUCAUUAGGAGCAUGCAGAGUGCGGAUGUUCCACCACUCACUCCGCGUUUACUAGCUGGAAUCCUCCUAGACAAAGAAACUCCUCAUGUUUAACUAUCUGAUUAUGCAAAGGAACAGUUCAUACAGGAAAGGCAGGACAUAUGCUUGAUUUCCUCCUUUUUGUUAACCAGUUUUAAAAAUAAAGGAGUGGGCUCUCCAGAAUCUGCCAAAGCGAU
Molecule: long non-coding RNA, 785 nt
Filed under: Equus asinus (donkey)
Lineage: Eukaryota; Metazoa; Chordata; Mammalia; Perissodactyla; Equidae
Description: lncRNA (ENSEASG00005033192.1)
Source: RNAcentral